CCUCCUUCCUUGGUACGCACGCUGUCUUCUGUACUCUGUGUUAUGGAGGGACAUAAAGUCCAGUGCUUUGUCUGCAGUGCCAGAACGUUUCCAUUUUCUGGUUCUAUCCUCAGUUGCUGAUAUCUAC
Molecule: small nucleolar RNA, 127 nt
Filed under: Salmo salar (Atlantic salmon)
Lineage: Eukaryota; Metazoa; Chordata; Actinopteri; Salmoniformes; Salmonidae
Description: Small nucleolar RNA SNORA57 (ENSSSAG00000065885.2, ENSSSAG00020073944.1, ENSSSAG00070045315.1, ENSSSAG00075028588.1)
Rfam family: Small nucleolar RNA SNORA57
About the family: U99 belongs to the H/ACA class of snoRNAs which are thought to guide the sites of modification of uridines to pseudouridines, the target for this family is unknown.
Source: Rfam by way of RNAcentral